This 121-nucleotide ribosomal RNA is filed under the name uncultured Sulfurihydrogenibium sp. RNAcentral's name for it is "partial 16S ribosomal RNA". It matches the Rfam family "Bacterial small subunit ribosomal RNA", at positions 337 to 458 of the family's 1533-position model. Lineage: Bacteria; Pseudomonadati; Aquificota; Aquificia; Aquificales; Hydrogenothermaceae. The record is from RNAcentral.
GUCUUUGGGGGCAGCAGUGGGGAAUAUUGGGCAAUGGCCGAAAGGCUGACCCAGCAACGCCGCGUGGUGGAUGAAGCCCUUCGGGGUGUAAACACCUUUUCUGGGGGAAGAUAAUGACGUA